Molecule: long non-coding RNA, 1045 nt
Filed under: Piliocolobus tephrosceles (Ugandan red Colobus)
Lineage: Eukaryota; Metazoa; Chordata; Mammalia; Primates; Cercopithecidae
Description: lncRNA (ENSPTEG00000023074.1)
Source: RNAcentral
GCUGUGAGCCGAGAUCUCACCACUGCACUCCAGCCUGGGCGACAGAGCAAGACUCUGUCACACACACACAAAAAAUAAAUGAACUGUUGCUAUGUGGCAUACCAUGGGUGUGGUUCAAACAUCAUAUUGAACAAAAGAGGCUAGACACAAAAGACAGCAUGGUGCCAUUUAUAGAAAACUCACCAAGAGACCAAAUAACCUACGACAUUGCAUGGCAGGACAUGUUAGGAGGUGGUGGGGGUGGUGACAGGAAGGAAUGCACCAGAAACAUGUGGGUGACAGGUCUGUGCCUACUUGCUAGCGGGUGUCUCCACGUGUCAGAAUUCUGUCUGCAGCCUGGCAAAAGUAAGUUGUGGAAAGAUGCGAUACCUGUCCCCUCCCUCUCGUUCUUGGAACUGACGUCUCCUGGAUGGAUCCUAGCAAAUGGUAAUUUGCAGAUUGCAAUCUCAUCUUUUCAAAGCAAUUGGACACGUCUUCAUACCAAAUUUCACUCAAGGGAACCCGUGUGCACAUCUGCACUGCACUCUGGGCAGGGAACCUGCGUGCACAUCUGCAGUGCACUCUGGGCAGGGAACCUGCGUGCUCGUCUGCAGUGCACUCUGGUCAGGGAACCUGCGUGCACAUCUGCAGUGCACUCUGGGCAGGGAACCUGCGUGCUCGUCUGCAGUGCACUCUGGGCAGGGAACCUGUGUGCACGUCUGCAAUGCACUCUGGGCUUUAUGUCUAAAGUCAAUCAGCAGGGUUUGUUGCAAGCAGAAUGCAGAAGCCAUGUAAGGCCACAGAACAGUUACAGACGACGAGGAACAGCGAGCGUCCCUCUCCCAUUCAAUGGGAGCCACCUGCGCCAGCCCACGCCACAGACCACAGCGAGGAUGCGCGCCUAAGAACGGUGGUGGUUAGAGCUAAGGUAUGGGGACUAUACACCAUAAAUAUUCCUGAAUUACUUAGUUCAGAGGUAGAGUUAACAUAACUGCUUCUUUUAAUUAUAUGAUCUAAAGCAUACAUGAGAAUAAUCACCAAACUCCCAUACUAGGCGAUAUGGCGU